Megalobrama amblycephala (Wuchang bream) is the source of this 5947-nucleotide RNA transcript. It is a transcript of the gene named dystrobrevin, beta b, with no coding region annotated. The transcript is spliced from 21 exons. The record is from RefSeq and is a predicted model, not a curated record. Lineage: Eukaryota; Metazoa; Chordata; Actinopteri; Cypriniformes; Xenocyprididae.
UCUUUGACAUAGUCAUAAUAAGCAUACAGGCAGUAUAUGAAAAGCUGCUCAGCAUAUUUGAGCAGAGGCACAUUGCACAGCAUUAAAUAAAACUAACGGUCGGCUAAUGGCAUUGUAAUAAUCGUGCACAUGAAGAGCAAUAGUGAUGCUCAGUCAUGGGAAAGGCAGGAGUGCUCUGCUGUCCUCUGCUGUUGGCUGAUGCUCAGAGAAGCGCUCGCGCAGCCUGUACUGCAGUUCCUACAAGACCGAAUCAAACGGAACGAACGGUAACCACGGCGCAAAUGUGACUAUGGGGAAGCGCAGCGCUACGAAAUUGCGUAUUAGUAGGUCGGUAAUUGUAAGUCUAUAUUAAAAAAGUGAAGCUAUGAUGAUGAUACGCCAGGACUCGAGCGCGAGACCGAUGAUCGCUCUCAUCAGAUGCUGAUGAUGGUCGCGCGACCUGCGUGAUUUCCUCUCGCUGGAGCUUCCUGAUUCCUUUGCAUCACCUUAUCUAAGUCCCAGCCAACCUGACAGAAUGAUUGAAGAGGGAAGUAAAAGCAGCAAGUCCAUGGUGGAGAAGAGACAGCUCUUCAUGGAGAUGAGGGCACAAAACUUUGAUGUUAUUCGCCUCUCAACAUACAGGACGGCGUGUAAGCUGCGAUUUGUUCAGAAACGAUGCAACCUUCACCUGGUGGACGUGUGGAACAUGAUCGAAGCUUUCCGUGACAAUGGGUUGAGCACGUUAGACCACAACGCAGAGAUUAAUGUGUCACGCCUGGAGACCAUUUUGUCCUCCAUCUUCUACCAGCUCAACAAGCGGUUGCCCACCACCCACCAGAUAAACGUGGAGCAGUCCAUCGGCCUGCUGCUGAACUUUAUUGUGGCCACUUAUGACAGCGAAGGCCAUGGGAAACUCACAGUGUUUGCUAUGAAGGCAAUGCUAGCUACAAUGUGUGGCGGUAAAAUACUGGACAAAUUACGUUAUAUAUUUUCCCAAAUAUCAGACUCCAAUGGGGUGAUGGUCUAUGCCAAAUUUGACCAGUUCCUGAGGGAAGUGCUGAAGCUCCCGACGGCAGUGUUCGAGGGGCCUUCGUUUGGCUACACCGAGCACUCUGUGAGAACAUGCUUCCCUCAGCAGAAGAAGAUCUUGCUGAAUACGUUUUUGGAUGUAUUGAUGGCAGAUCCACCCCCGCAGUACCUCGUAUGGCUACCUCUCAUGCACCGACUCGCUAAUGUAGAGAAUGUCUUCCAUCCAGUGGAAUGUUCGUACUGCCGGAGUGAGAGCAUGAUGGGUUUCCGGUACCGCUGCCAGCAGUGCCAUGGCUACCAGCUUUGUCAGAGCUGCUUCUGGCGCGGUCAUGCCAGCGGUCCCCAUAGCAACCAGCACCAGAUGAAGGAGCACUCCUCAUGGAAGUCUCCAGCAAAGAAGCUCAGCCACGCCAUCAGUAAAUCUCUGGGCUGCAUGCCGAUCGGAGAGCCUCCUCAUCCCGUGUUCCCAGAGGCAGCGGAAAGACCUCAGGACCUCGCACAUACCACUCAGCUGAGGCCAGUGGCCAACAACAUGAACGAUACCGUUCUCAUUUCCUCCGGGACGCCCACGCCUUCAAAAAGUAGCACCCUUGAGAGUCCCAGCAGACUGGAUGAAGAACACCGUCUUAUCGCUCGAUAUGCUGCUCGUCUGGCGGCGGAGGCCAGCAACUCCACUCAAUGCCCUCCAACUGAUCUGAGUUUCAAUUUUGAUGCUAAUAAGCAGCAGAGGCAGCUCAUCGCAGAAUUAGAGAACAAAAACAGAGAGAUCCUGCAAGAAAUCCAGCGUCUACGUCUAGAACAUGAACAGGCUUCUCAACCCACCCCUGAGAAAGCCCAGCAGAACCCCACUCUACUGGCAGAGCUUCGACUGCUACGGCACAGAAAAGACGAGUUGGAGAGGCGCAUGUCGGCCCUGCAGGAGAGCAGGAGAGAACUGAUGGUCCAGCUGGAAGGUCUCAUGAGGCUGCUGAAGGAUGAAGAGCAGAAACAGGCAUCUCAGACGGGGAGUUCGCCCCACUCAUCACCCAGCCACAGUGCCAGUUGCACCAUGCCUAUGCCCAUCCGCUCCACCUCGGCCGGCUCAACCCCCACACACACACCGCAGGACUGCCUGGCAGGGGUCGGAGAUGACGUGCUGGAUGCCUUCUCUCAGGGUGUACCAAGAAAUCUCCGUAAUGAUCUUUUGGUGGCAGCAGACUCGAUCACAAACACUAUGUCAUCACUAGUGAAAGAACUUCACUCAGUGGAUGAUGGUCUGGAGGAUGAAGAGGAGAACAUGCGAAAUGGAAGGGAGAAGGUGUCAUCGCUGAAGCAUCCUGGGAAAAGGCAAUCCACCCCUUCAUUCUGAGCCCCAGGAAAGAACCAACGACAUCAAAAUCUCCCUGGCAUUCGCACAAAUGCAUGCUCUUCCCCAACUGGGUUUCACUAUGUGAAACAAACUCUUCAUCACAUCUUGCACAGAGCAAGUUGUAUUUAUUAGGAAGUAUAUAAAUAUAUAUAUAAAUAUAUAAAUAUAAAUAUAGCUCUAUGUCUAUCUGUAUAAACCCUUUGUUAUCACGUUACCCAUGAGAAUGGCUUGUUUGUGCUUUCUUAAAAAACCUUUAUGAAUUUGUGAUUACUACUCUCUGAAACGAACGCACUGUGCAUCUUCAUGACGUCACUCAAAUCGAUCUAAGCUGUAGCUUUUUUUCCAGAUGUUCCUCACACAGGAAGCGUUUUUGUAUAACUAGUGAUGAUUUUUGUGUUUUAUUGCAUGGAGCGGCUCUGCUGGAUAGGUGGAGAGGGCUCGUAAUUGCUCUGCAUGUGACAUUUAUGCCUGCUCCGUCGCUCCUGAUCAUCAAACUGCUGCUUCUGCAUCACACGCAUCAGAACCACCAUAUAUCAGGGACGUCUCGUAGAGCUCGCCGUUUGUCUGGGAUAUCUGCUACUGUGUUAAGUUUAGCCCGUCGUUGUGGCCGUUGUUUUCGCACUUCAGUAUUGCCUCUUUAGAGUUUAGAGUAUCGCAUUUGUGUCUCUCUGUAUUCCCGGAGAGCAUAAAGGGACUUUAAUGGAAUGCGGAUAGAUUCCGUAUAUCCGUAAACCAGCUUAGCCAGCCAUCUUUGAGUGCACACGUCUCUCUGUAAAAGUUACUUCAAAAGCUUUAUUGAGUUCAGUUGUUGUGUAUAUUUGUGUGAAAUAAAUGAAACAAGUGCUCAGGGACUGUUGAGAGGGGAACACGGUAGCAAUGCUUGUGAACAAAUUGGUGGAAUUUACUUUGACCCCCCCAAAGGUCAAAUGUCAAAGAUUAGCACAGGACAUAAAAACUUUAUGGAAUGGCUGAGGAGGAACGGUAUUGUAUGGAAGCCCAUUUCUGCCACACAAGACAAAAAUGCUUUGGUAAAUCGUAAUUAUAAGAUAAAAAGUCAAAAUUACGAGAUACUAAGUCAUAAUUAUAACACAAAAACAAAAUUAUGAUACAAGAGUCAAACGUUUGACAUGAAAGCUGAAAUUAUGACACAAGUCAAAAUUAUGAGAAAUUAUGAGAUAAUUUCCUAAUUAUGAGAUAAGAGGUCGAAAUAAUGAGAUACAUUAAAAAGAUUCAUUAUAUCAAAAACAAAAUUAUGAUAAAAGAGUCAAAAGUUUGACAUAAAAGCUGAAAUUAUGACAUAAGUCAUAAUUAUAAGAUAAAAAGUUGAAAUUGAGGUACUCCUAAUUUGAAAUUGAGAUAAAAAGUCAUGAUUACACAAUAAAAAUAAAAAAAAAUCAGAAUUAUGACAAAAACAAAAUGAUGAUAAAAGAGUCAAAAGCUUGACAAUAAAUCUGAAAUUGACAUAAGUCAUAAUUAUAAGAUAAAAAGUCAAAAUUGAAGUAGUCCUAAUUAUAACAAAAAGUUGAAAUUAUGAGAUAAAAAGUCAUAAUUACGUAAUUAAAUUUAGAAUUAUAACAAAAACACAAUUAUGACAUAAAAGAGUCAAAAUCUUGGCAUAAAAGCCAAAAUUAUGACACGUCAUAAUUAUAAAAUACAAAUUCGAAUUUGAGAUAGUCCCAAUUAUGACAAAAAGUCAAAAUAAUGAGAUAAAAAGUCAUAAUUAUGCAAUUAAAAAAGUCAUGAUUGUAACAUAAAAAGAAGAUUAUGAUAUAAAAUAUGCAAAAGUUUGGCAUAAAAGCCGAAAUUGUGACAAAGUCAUAAAAGUAAAAAUUAUGACAGUCAAAAUUCCGAAAAGUAAUAAUUAUAGUCACAAUUAUGAGAUAAUUGAAAAACUAUAACAUAUGUACAACAUAAAACGUCCUAAUUAUGACAUGUCAAAAUUGACAUUUAUAAUAUAAUUUAUAAAUAUACAAAAUAAAAGUCUCAAAAUUGACAUACCAUGUUAUAUUUAUGAGUUAAAAAGUCAAAUUUAUGACUUUUUUUUUGGUCAUAAUUGAUACAAAGUCAAUUAUUAUAUAGAAAGUCAUGAUUUGGACAUUUUAUCUAAUAUUUAUUACUUGGUAUGUCAUAAUUUCCACGUUUUAUGUCAUAAUUAUGAAUUACCAAAGUAGGAUUUCCAUAGUGUUGCACUUUGGACGUGGAAACGCAGCGAUUAGAGGACAUGCGUAGAGUCUAAAGCUUUAUUGUCGUGAGGAAGACAGUUUGACUUACUGUACUUGAAUCAGAAGGAAUUCAGGUUCAAUAAUUACAUUUAUCUAAUUAUUAUACGUAUGUGAUUUUAUUAUACUUGUGAUUUGUUCUUUGUUAGGUUGGUUUCAAAUAAGAAAUAAUAAUUACCAUUAUUUAAAAAAAAAACAUUUUGUUUAUGACUGCUAACAUUUGAAUGUUAAAUUAGAUAAAUCCAUGGAGCAACAGUUUAAAGUGAGUUUUGGUGUAGAAUAUUAAGAUUCUUUGACAUUUAUGAGGGUCAGUAGGUGUAAUUGAUUCAUUCACUGUUUAAUACUUUUUUAAAAUGCUUGUAAUUCUGCAUAAAGAGGUCUUUUGAAUGGCUACGAUAUGAACAGUGAGGUCUCAUUCAAUGUUUUACACUGGAAAACAAAGUGUCGCUUCUGUUAUAGUGAGUGAAAUCUUAUAUAUUUGCUUUUCGAAUCGAUUUUUACAUGAUCAUAAUGCUUGUUCUGUGUUUCAAUGAAAGGAAUAUAAAAUCUAGUUGGGAAUUUACUGUCAUUGUUUUAAAUUUGCAAGAAACAAUACAGCUUUGUACGAAAUACUCUCAGAUGGCAAGUUUGAAAGUUUGAUUAUGUUCCAACAUUUGCUACAAAUAUGAAUGCAAUCUUCUGAUGUAGGUGUGUGCCUAGAUGUACUGUAUAAAGUGCUGUAUAAAAUAAAAAUCUGCACAUGUGCAAGUCAGCCCUUAGAUAGGAGUUUUAGUAUGUGACUUAGUCGGAAUGCAGUCUUUAUUUACCUGUGAUCUUUGGGAAAAAAAAAAAUAUUGUUCUGCCUUUAAAAGUUGUGCCAAACUGUUUGCCAACCUGUAGUGUGUCCUUUAGGUCUUUGUUCUGUGUAUUUGUGUGUGUUUAACCACAAUUUAUUGAUUAUGAAUUUACUGAAGCAGUCCACAGAGAGGGUAACUAAUAACGGGGUGCCUUAAAUGGUUGAAAUACAAUACAGUUUAAGAGGAAGGAACCCUGCUUGAAAUCAAUUUCAAACAUCAUUGCGGAUUUAUACGUUACAGAUGGACCUCCAACAGAGGACCUCCUAUGUUAUCAAAGUUAGAUGAAACAAUAUUUCAAAAACUAAAUCUGCACCGUCAGGUUUGAUUUUCUUCAGCAACUUGUGAUUUUAUUGUUUUUAAAAACCAAAACUGUCAGUUGAAGCUACAAACACUGUUUAAUUCAUUCAUUUGAGGGUUUUGCUGCUGUAUACAAUCAUUUAUUGCAAUGGUUUACGUCCAUAUUUAUGUUUACGUCACCCUAAUGUCUUUUUGUAAACUAUUAAAGGGUAAAAUAUAUGAAAAACUUCAAAGGACAA